CAUAUCAAUAAGCGGAGGAAAAGAAACCAACGGGAUUGCCCUAGUAACGGCGAGUGAAGCGGCAAAGCUCAAAUUUGAAAUCUGGCCGUCCGAGUUGUAAUUUGAGAGGAUGUUGCAAGUCCUUGGAACAGGCGUCCAGAGGGUGAGAAUCCCGUACCUGUGAGCUCCUUCAAGAGUCGAGUUGUUUGGGAAUGCAGCUCUAAUGGGAGGUAAUUUCUUCUAAAGCUAAAUACGGCCAGAGACCGAUAGCGCACAAGUAGAGUGAUCGAAAGAUGAAAAGCACUUUGGAAAGAGAGUUAAAAGUACGUGAAAUUGUUGAAAGGGAAGCGCUUGCACCAGAUGGUCCUCGCUCCAGGCCAGCAUCGGUUGCGGUGAAAAGAAUGUGCCUGGGGGUUAUAGCUGAUGCGCCGGCGAGGCGCGCUCGCAGGAUGCUGGCUAAUGGUGUAGCGGCCCGUCUUGAAACACGGACCAAGGAGUCUAACAUCUGUGCGAGUGUUGGGUGUAAGCCCACGCGAAUGAAAGUGAACGGAGGCGGGACGUGCACCGUCGACCGAUCCUGAUGUCUUCGGAUGGAUUUGAGUAAGAGCAUAGCUGUUGGGACCCGAAAGAUGGUGAACUAUCCUGAAUAGGGUGAAGCCAGAGGAAACUCUGGUGGAGGCUCGCAGCGGUUCUGACGUGCAAAUCGAUCGUCAAAUUUGGGAUAGAAAACUAAUCGAACCGUCUAGUAGCUGGUUCCUGCCGAAGUUUCCCUCAGGAUAGCAGUAACGUUCAGUUUUAUGAGGUAAAGCGAAUGAUUAGAGGCCUGGGGGUGAAACACCUUCACCUAUUCUCAAACUUUAAAUAUGUAAGAAGUCCUUGUUCUUGUUGAACGGGACAUGAAUGACGUUACUAGUGGGCCAUUUUUGGUAAGCAGAACUGGCGAUGCGGGAUGAACCGAACGGGGUUAAGGUGCCGAAUGCACGCUCAUCAGACACCACAAAAGGUGUUAGUUCAUCUGACAGCAGGACGGUGGCCAUGGAAGUCGGAACCGCUAAGGAGUGUGUAACAACUCACCUGCCGAAUGAACUAGCCCUGAAAAUGGAUGGCGCUCAAGCGUGCUACCAUACCCCCGCCGGGGGUGCUCGGCGAGUAGGCAGGCGUGGGGGCGUGACGAAGCCUUGGG
Molecule: ribosomal RNA, 1162 nt
Filed under: Psiloglonium clavisporum
Lineage: Eukaryota; Fungi; Ascomycota; Dothideomycetes; Hysteriales; Hysteriaceae
Description: eukaryotic LSU rRNA
Rfam family: Eukaryotic large subunit ribosomal RNA
Source: RNAcentral